UGGGGAAUAUUGCACAAUGGGCGCAAGCCUGAUGCAGCCAUGCCGCGUGUAUGAAGAAGGCCUUCGGGUUGUAAAGUACUUUCAGCGGGGAGGAAGGGAGUAAAGUUAAUACCUUUGCUCAUUGACGUUACCCGCAGAAGAAGCACCGGCUAACUCCGUGCCAGCAGCCGCGGUAAUACGGAGGGUGCAAGCGUUAAUCGGAAUUACUGGGCGUAAAGCGCACGCAGGCGGUUUGUUAAGUCAGAUGUGAAAUCCUCGGGCUCAACCUGGGAACUGCAUCUGAUACAGGCAGGCUAGAGUCUUGUAGAGGGGGGUAGAAUUCCAGGUGUAGCGGUGAAAUGCGUAGAGAUCUGGAGGAAUACCGGUGGCGAAGGCGGCCCCCUAGACAAAGACUGACGCUCAGGUGCGAAAGCGUGGGGAGCAAACAGG
RNAcentral lists this ribosomal RNA (429 nucleotides) under Chloroflexota bacterium. Its description in RNAcentral is "Chloroflexi bacterium partial 16S ribosomal RNA". It matches the Rfam family "Bacterial small subunit ribosomal RNA", at positions 355 to 776 of the family's 1533-position model. The record is from RNAcentral. Lineage: Bacteria; Bacillati; Chloroflexota.